Molecule: long non-coding RNA, 474 nt
Organism: Mauremys reevesii (Reeves's turtle)
Lineage: Eukaryota; Metazoa; Chordata; Testudines; Geoemydidae
Exons: 4
Source: RefSeq, a predicted model, not a curated record
GUAGUCACAUUGACAGGAAUGGGACUCCAUGCUUUGCUAAGGGAGAUCGAUGCUGCUACAAUCAAUGCAGCAGUGAUCCAUUUAGUGGGUCUAGUGAGCACCUGCUAAAUCAACAGCAGAGCGCUCUCUGGUUGAUCCCAGUACUCCAGCUCUCCAAGAAGAAUAAGGGAAGUCGACUGGAGAGUGUCUCCCAUUGACAGAGUGCAGUGAAGACACCAGGAGAAGCCAAGGAUUGGCCAGGCAAGAAGAGUGAACUACCAUCUCACCUGUAGAAGAUCGGCCCUCCAGGUGGUCAACAGGAUAUUAACAUCUGCUACUGGAUUUGCUGGACAAAGGCAAACAGGACUUUGAUUGUUACCAAGCUAAGGCAACUCUUCAUUGCAAUUUCUCUGCUGGCAAAGAGAAGCAUGUUUAAAACAAAUUGUCCUUGACAUAGAGCUAUAGUCAACACAGGAAUUGCCAUUUAGAGGUGAU